This 551-nucleotide ribosomal RNA is filed under the name uncultured bacterium. Its description in RNAcentral is "bacterial SSU rRNA". It matches the Rfam family "Bacterial small subunit ribosomal RNA", at positions 355 to 896 of the family's 1533-position model. The record is from RNAcentral.
UAGGGAAUCUUCGGCAAUGGACGGAAGUCUGACCGAGCAACGCCGCGUGAGUGAAGAAGGUUUUCGGAUCGUAAAGCUCUGUUGUAAGAGAAGAACGAGUGUGAGAGUGGAAAGUUCACACUGUGACGGUAUCUUACCAGAAAGGGACGGCUAACUACGUGCCAGCAGCCGCGGUAAUACGUAGGUCCCGAGCGUUGUCCGGAUUUAUUGGGCGUAAAGCGAGCGCAGGCGGUUAGAUAAGUCUGAAGUUAAAGGCUGUGGCUUAACCAUAGUACGCUUUGGAAACUGUUUAACUUGAGUGCAAGAGGGGAGAGUGGAAUUCCAUGUGUAGCGGUGAAAUGCGUAGAUAUAUGGAGGAACACCGGUGGCGAAAGCGGCUCUCUGGCUUGUAACUGACGCUGAGGCUCGAAAGCGUGGGGAGCAAACAGGAUUAGAUACCCUGGUAGUCCACGCCGUAAACGAUGCGUGCUAGGUGUUAGACCCUUUCCGGGGUUUAGUGCCGUAGCUAACGCAUUAAGCACUCCGCCUGGGGAGUACGAACCGCAAGGUUG